Molecule: ribosomal RNA, 445 nt
Filed under: uncultured bacterium
Lineage: Bacteria
Description: bacterial SSU rRNA
Rfam family: Bacterial small subunit ribosomal RNA
Source: RNAcentral
UUCCUACGGGAGGCAGCAGUAAGGAAUCUUCCGCAAUGGACGAAAGUCUGACGGAGCAACGCCGCGUGCAGGAUGAAGGCUUUCGGGUCGUAAACUGCUUUUGUAUGGGAAGAUUAUGACGGUACCAUACGAAUAAGGACCGGCUAACUACGUGCCAGCAGCCGCGGUAAUACGUAGGGUCCAAGCGUUAUCCGGAAUUACUGGGCGUAAAGCGUCUGUAGGCGGAUUGUUAAGUGCACCGCGAAAUCCUGUGGCUCAACCAUAUGGACUGUGAUGCAUACUGGCAAUCUAGAGGAUGGCAGAGGCAAGUGGAAUUACCGGUGUAGCAGUGAAAUGCGUAGAUAUCGGUAGGAACACCAAUGGCGAAGGCAGCUUGCUGGGCCAUUUCUGACGCUAAGAGACGAAAGCGUGGGGAGCGAACAGGAUUAGAUACCCUGGUAGUCCA